AUUGCACAACUUAAGUUUGUCGAGGAUCAUUUUUUUUUUUGAAACUGAAUCCUGCUCUUUUUUAGGUGCUUGAAACCCUCGAUGAAUGUGUCAAUGUGCAAAGAUAAACUAUUGUUCUCUGUUGAUUAGUGGUUUUGAUAUUUGCUUUGGAAAUUUUUUUUCCCUUUCCUAUAAUUGGCUUUUGUUUUAACAGUCAUUUGGAAAGAAUAAGCAAUAUUAAAAUUGCGGCUUUAUAUUUAAACGUUGUUUUGCUUUUGCAUGGAUAUUUUAUUUAUGCACUUCUCCUGUUUUAUCAGACCUUCAAUAUUGGUUUUCCCUUCUGUUAUGUUUUCCUUUGCGCUGUUUCCCCCACUGUUGAUAUGUUGUGUAUUAACGCCGGUCGUGUUGUACGUGUUUCAUUGCUGAACAUAUAAUCACUUUUGUUGGAGUUCUUCUUUCAAGUUUGGUAUAGUUCGAUUUGAGAUACACAACAUGGUUUGGCUUAUGGGAGAAACAAUCGGGAUUUCACGAAUAUUGGGAAAUCAUAGAAGUGAAGAUGCCCGAGACAGUUUUGUUCAAAAAGAAGCUAUAAGAACAUGAUUC
This 582-nucleotide small nucleolar RNA is filed under the name Saccharomyces arboricola H-6. RNAcentral describes it as "Small nucleolar RNA snR84". It matches the Rfam family "Small nucleolar RNA snR84". The record is from Rfam by way of RNAcentral. Lineage: Eukaryota; Fungi; Ascomycota; Saccharomycetes; Saccharomycetales; Saccharomycetaceae.